RNAcentral lists this ribosomal RNA (158 nucleotides) under Cetraria muricata. RNAcentral's name for it is "5,8S ribosomal RNA". It matches the Rfam family "5.8S ribosomal RNA". Rfam says of the family: 5.8S ribosomal RNA (5.8S rRNA) is a component of the large subunit of the eukaryotic ribosome. It is transcribed by RNA polymerase I as part of the 45S precursor that also contains 18S and 28S rRNA. The record is from RNAcentral. Lineage: Eukaryota; Fungi; Ascomycota; Lecanoromycetes; Lecanorales; Parmeliaceae.
AAAACUUUCAACAACGGAUCUCUUGGUUCCAGCAUCGAUGAAGAACGCAGCGAAAUGCGAUAACUAAUGUGAAUUGCAGAAUUCAGUGAAUCAUCGAGUCUUUGAACGCACAUUGCGCCCCUCGGUAUUCCGGGGGGCGUGCCUGUUCGAGCGUCAUU